AACGAACGCUGGCGGCAGGCCUAACACAUGCAAGUCGAGCGCGCCCUUCGGGGUGAGCGGCGGACGGGUUAGUAACGCGUGGGAAUAUGCCCAGAUCUGCGGAAUAGCCUCUGGAAACGGAGAGUAAUACCGCAUACGCCCUUCGGGGAAAGAUUUAUCGGAUUUGGAUUAGCCCGCGUUGGAUUAGGUAGUUGGUGGGUAAUGGCCUACCAAGCCGACGAUCCAUAGCUGGUUUGAGAGGAUGAUCAGCAACACUGGGACUGAGACACGGCCCAGACUCCUACGGGAGGCAGCAGUGGGAAUCUUAGACAAUGGGGAAACCCUGAUCUAGCCAUGCCGCGUGAGUGACGAAGGCCCUAGGGUCGUAAAGCUCUUUCAGCUGUGAAGAUAAUGACGGUAGCAGCAGAAGAAACCCCGGCUAACUCCGUG
Molecule: ribosomal RNA, 429 nt
Filed under: uncultured bacterium
Lineage: Bacteria
Description: bacterial SSU rRNA
Rfam family: Bacterial small subunit ribosomal RNA
Source: RNAcentral